Fukomys damarensis (Damara mole-rat) is the source of this 254-nucleotide long non-coding RNA. RefSeq lists it as uncharacterized. Lineage: Eukaryota; Metazoa; Chordata; Mammalia; Rodentia; Bathyergidae. The record is from RefSeq and is a predicted model, not a curated record. The transcript is spliced from 3 exons.
ACAAAAAAGAGAAAAUAUGAACCAAGUGAUUUGUCUUUAGGGAAUGACUGGAUUUCUGAGGUGAAGAACAAAUAAUACAAUCAAUAGAAGACACAACAAAGUACAUACAAGGAAUAUUUUUGGACAUACCUGUCUAUUCAACCACAUAUUCAAAAAUACCACAACUGGACGAAGCAAUGAUCAUAGAGUAAGGUGAAUGUCAUCCUUCAUCGUGACAGAACUAUGACUGCUGUAAAAGAAAGCAAAUGAUGACU